AUGGAUGAUGAGUACUACCUAUUUGCCGGUGAAGCAUCCGACACUGAUAGCUCGGACCUCGAUGAGCCCGUAGAAUCCUCCAACACGGGAUCUAUCAACCUAGAUCCUUUCGACUAUGUCUACUCGAACAUCCCAGACAGCACGCACAUCCUGAAGCACGCGGCAAACUGCAAGCAUUGCAAGGCCAAGAAGUUCCAGUACGAGACUGACGGCUUUUGCUGUCGGAACGGG
This 231-nucleotide ribosomal RNA is filed under the name Triticum aestivum (bread wheat). RNAcentral's name for it is "partial small subunit ribosomal RNA". Lineage: Eukaryota; Viridiplantae; Streptophyta; Magnoliopsida; Poales; Poaceae. The record is from RNAcentral.